RNAcentral lists this ribosomal RNA (438 nucleotides) under Hydroporus melanarius. RNAcentral describes it as "partial 16S ribosomal RNA". The stretch from base 1 to 147 matches the Rfam family "Archaeal large subunit ribosomal RNA", at positions 1911 to 2099 of the family's 2987-position model. Lineage: Eukaryota; Metazoa; Arthropoda; Insecta; Coleoptera; Dytiscidae. The record is from RNAcentral.
GUCCUUUAGUUAAAAAUAAUUUAAGGUCUAACCUGCCCAUUGAUUAAAUUAAAAGGCCGCAGUAAUUUGACUGUGCAAAGGUAGCAUAAUCAUUAGUUUUUUAAUUAAAAGCUUGUAUGAAUGGUUGGACGAGAUAAAAUCUGUCUCUUUGUAAUAAAUAGAAUUUAAUUUUUAAGUUAAAAAGCUUAAAUAUUCAUAAAAGACGAGAAGACCCUAUAGAUCUUAAUAUAAUUUUUUUUAGUAUUAAUAAAGAAAAAUUUAUUUAUUAGAAAAAAUUUUAUUUUAUUGGGGUAAUAAAAAGAUUAAUAAAAUUCUUUAUAAUUAAACAAAAAUUAUUGGUUUUUUGAUCCAUUAUUAAUGAUUAUAAGAUUAAGUUACCUUAGGGAUAACAGCGUAAUUUUUUUAGAGAGUUCAUAUCAAUAAAAAAGUUUGCGACCU